UACGUAGGGGGCAAGCGUUGUCCGGAUUUACUGGGCGUAAAGAGCGUGUAGGCGGCCAAGCAGGUCCGUUGUGAAAACUGGAGGCUUAACCUCCAGACGUCGAUGGAAACCGUAUGGCUAGAGUCCGGAAGAGGAGAGUGGAAUUCCUGGUGUAGCGGUGAAAUGCGCAGAUAUCAGGAAGAACACCCGUGGCGAAGGCGGCUCUCUGGGACGGUACUGACGCUGAGACGCGAAAGCGUGGGGAGCGAACAGG
Molecule: ribosomal RNA, 253 nt
Filed under: uncultured bacterium
Lineage: Bacteria
Description: partial 16S ribosomal RNA
Rfam family: Bacterial small subunit ribosomal RNA
Source: RNAcentral